This 483-nucleotide ribosomal RNA is filed under the name uncultured bacterium. RNAcentral describes it as "partial 16S ribosomal RNA". It matches the Rfam family "Bacterial small subunit ribosomal RNA", at positions 28 to 507 of the family's 1533-position model. The record is from RNAcentral.
GACGAACGCUGGCGGCGUGCUUAACACAUGCAAGUCGAACGCUGAAGCUCAGCUUUUGUUGGGUGGAUGAGUGGCGAACGGGUGAGUAACACGUGAGUAACCUGCCCCCUUCUUUGGGAUAACGCCCGGAAACGGGUGCUAAUACUGGAUAUUCACUGGUCUUCGCAUGGGGGUUGGUGGAAAGGGUUUUUCUGGUGGGGGAUGGGCUCGCGGCCUAUCAGCUUGUUGGUGGGGUGAUGGCCUACCAAGGCUUUGACGGGUAGCCGGCCUGAGAGGGUGACCGGGCACAUUGGGACUGAGAUACGGCCCAGACUCCUACGGGAGGCAGCAGUGGGGAAAAUUGCACAAUGGGCGCAAGCCUGAUGCAGCGACGCCGCGUGAGGGAUGGAGGCCUUCGGGUUGUGAACCUCUUUCGCUAAUGGUCAAGCCGCAACAAUGGUUGUGGUGAGGGUAGUGGGUAAAGAAGCGCCGGCUAACUACGUG